This 8259-nucleotide long non-coding RNA is filed under the name Sorghum bicolor (sorghum). Its description in RNAcentral is "long non-coding RNA (SBIC_LNC004342)". The record is from RNAcentral. Lineage: Eukaryota; Viridiplantae; Streptophyta; Magnoliopsida; Poales; Poaceae.
GCCCGUCUCGACACCACCUCGGUGCGUCGCCUCCUCCCCUGUUCCUUUCUAGCUACUUCCAGUACCAAAAUGCAUGCAUGCAUGCUCCUUGUACAGUUAGUGUUGACACAGUGCAUGGCAAUGGCAAUCGGAUGCAAUGCAAUGCAGUGCUUCUUCCCGCAGAAUGUAAUCGAUGGCAUCAACACCCCCAUCUUCCUGCUCAACGCAGCAUACGACGUAUGGCAGGUAAUACUCCUAAGGGCACUCACAAUGCAGACUCUAUCAUAGAGUCUAAAGUUAUUUAUUACCUCGAACAAUGUGGACUUGGAGUCUAAAUAAGACUUUUUUUCUACCUCUUUCUUCAAUAAAUAUGCUGCCACAUCAGCAAAAUACUAUAAAUAAUAUGUAAUUAAGUGUGUUGGACUCUGUGAUAGAGUCUUGCAUUGUGAGUGCCCUAACUAACCGAUUUGUUGCAAGCUUUCAAAUGUUGUAAUAAGUACAUUUGUAAUAUCGAGCUAAGCUAUCAAUGGCCGCACACGAUCAGAUACAGGAGAGCCUGGCACCCACCGGAGCUGACCCCAGCGGAGCCUGGCGGGCCUGCAAGUCCAACCACUCUGCCUGCGACGCAUCCCAGAUGAAAUUCCUGCAAGGUUACUAAUUCAGUUACAUGUCAUCCGAAGGGCCGGCCUGAUGUUCUCAAGGUUAAUUUCUAAUUAAGUACAUCCCUGGAUCGAUCAAUUGCAUUGCAUGCAGAUUUCAGAGACCAGAUGGUAGCAUCGGUGAACAACGGCUUCGCUGGCUCCAGGAGCAACGGGCUCUUCAUCAACUCCUGCUUCGCGCACUGCCAGUCCGAGCUGCCGAUGACAUGGAGCGACAACGCGGCAGGUGGUGGUGCCUCCCCGGCCAUUCAAAGCAGGGUAACUUGCAAUGCAGCCAUCCAUAUAUACACACAUAUAAAAGCAAUAAAAUAAAAAGUUUGAGCUGUUUUGCGUAUAUAUAUGCAUGCAGGGGAUUGCCAAGUCAGUGGGCGACUGGUACUUUGGUCGAGCUCAAGUUAAGGCCAUCGACUGCCCCUACCCAUGCGACCGAACAUGCCGCAACAUCAUAUGACAACAACAUCGUCUCCUGCUGCACCACACAUCCUCGACAGUUGUACAUCACAUCACAUCACAUCACAUCAUUUUUUUUUGAGACCACAUCACAUCAAUUUGUGAACACAGUGAAAGCAAAUGGGUGCGACCAUUAAGAUUAAAUGAACGAUAAUAAGCCGAGCCUAUAUAUGUAGGGCUUAAGUGAUAGUUAAACUUGCAUUGUUAAGUGAUUCAUUCAUACAGAAAGCAGAUGAGAGUGAGUGUGUACUGUUUAUUUCGCAUGAUGUUGGCCUCCAAGUUUAACACGAUCUGAUUAUUCAUGGCAAAUUCAGUAGUAGGAUGUUAGAUGAGCAUGUGAACUGUUUGUACGGAUAAACCAGCCAACAGUAGGGUGUAUUGUGCAACACUAAUCGUUGUUACUCCGAUGACUUCUCUGGUGCACCACCAGAGAGUUAGGGGGCGUGUUAAAUCACAGUGUGCACGUGAAAACCACCCUCACUCAACUGACCAUGCGGUGCAUCUCUCCGGUGCCACGCCUGAGAGUUCCAAUGUACACUAAUAGGUUAGGGUUAGCUCUUGUGCACUGUACUAAAACUCUGAUGAGCCAACAGAUAAUUUUGGUGUGUUUAAUAAUCCAUAUAUGCCAUCUUCUUCCAUGACAUCCAUGUUACCUAUUUACAAGAACCCAUCUCAACCUUUUUAUCUCUUUGUUCCUAAUCCACGCGGAUGAGCUGGCCGGACAGUGGCAAGGCACAAGGGUUGGGGGUCACUACUACACAUUUCAUUUUGCACACCGUUUCACAUAAGGGCUCCAAGACGGACGUCAUUUUUGUCCGCAACGGUUAUUCUAGUUAGCAGCAGCCGGCCGGACAACCGCCAAGUAACCGCCACGGUUAAUAUUUGGAACUUGUAAGCUAACCGCCACGGUUAAUGAUUAAUCAUGGUGGGAAGUGUAAAGUAACCGCAGUGUAAGCUAACUGCCAUGGUUUAAUCUAUUAACUGUGGCGGUCGACUUUUCCACUAUCAACCCCCAAAAAAACCUAACUCUACCUUAUGUAAAGUUGCUAGAGUACAAUUAACCUUUGGAUUUGAAAUCACUGCUUAUAUACCUGGUAUUGGCCAUUAUUUUACAAGAACAUUAUGUAGUAUUAGUAAGAGGAGGAAGGGUUAAGGAUUUACCCGGUGUGAGAUAUCUCAUUAUUCGAGGAACCCUAGAUGCUAUCACAGUAAAGAAUCAUCAACAAGGGCGUUCUAGUGAGUUGUAGAAUCUUAUCCAAGACUUGUAUCAUUUGAUGAUGCCAUGCGAAUCACUAGAAACAUGUGAAGUGUAUGGCUAACCCAAUAACGAAAGUUUCAUAAGGGGACUGCAGUAGGUUACCAUGAGACAAAAGAUCUUCUUUCUAAAGAGAUUCGAUUCGGAACUCUUAUAUGUCCAAGGUCAAUAUGGGAAUUCUUUCAGAGGUUUUCCCUUACUUUGUCUAUGUCAACAAACAAUUCAAAAUACCUCGCCUUUUCCAAAACAGGUCCGAGUCAAAUAGCAAUGAUUCGAAGCACUUCUUUUUUCCAUUACACUAUUUCAAAAAAAGAAGUAGUGUUAAAGGUUUAGGGUUUAACGGUCCCUCACUCCCUCCCCAUCCCGCCGCUCUAGGUCCCGUCAACCCGUCCGACACGCUCGUCGUUCCUCUCCACGGAGCCGCAUGGCGGCGGCGCACCCCUUCUCCCCUCUCCUUCUGGCCAUGGCGCAAGCCAGCCUGGCCCCUCCUGGUAGUAGUGCGGCGCGGCCCGACCUCCUCCUCCCCUCCCUCCACGGCAUGGAUCUGGCAUGGAUGGGCUCGGGCGCCUCCUCCUCCGGCAGCGGCCACACGACCACCUCCUCUUCCUCCUUCGGCAUGGUGGCUGCCCCUCCUCUCACGAUAAUGGAUCUAACAGUGGCUCCCUCUUCUCCCUCCCUAGCGACACGGGUUAGGCGAUGUUGCGUGCAAGGAGUCUAGAUCCGGUGAUGGCGCAAUGAGGAGCAACAGCGAGCACAGGGAGGCGAAGCACCUCUAUCACCGGUACCAGAUAUGCACGAGGCGGCAGGUGGUGUGCAGGGGCAGCGGUGGGAGGCCCAGCUAGCAACGACAGCGGUGGCCCGUGGAUGGGCUCGGUGGGCCCAUGGAUGGGCUCAGUGGCCUUAUCCACGGGUUUCCUUUUUUGUUUUUUUUGUGCGAUUAACCAUGGCGGACAACAUAAGACAACUGCUAAGUUAAUAUGUAUUUAUCGUAGCGAUUAUCUUAUGUUGCCUGUCACGGUUAAAUGAUUAACCAAGGCGAUUGGGAGAAUCGCCUCGGUUAAACCAUGUUUAACCGUGAUCUUGUGGCUGAAGCGGUUGCAAAAACCAUCACGAUACAUACAAAAGUCCCACCACCAUUAAGUUUUCAUAUAGUAGUGGCUAGUCAGGAUUCUUCCCGUCCGAACGCUCGGACGGGAAACUUUCACCGAUAAUUCCCGCGUCUUCUUCCCGCGCGAGUUUCUGCGGACAGGAGCCAAUGGCCUCGAUUGCCCACUUAGCAGAGUAUGUUUUCUUUUUUUUUCUUUUUUGUUUCUCCUUUUCUUUUUUCUUUCCCACCUAGGUAUGGCGCACCGGAACAGAACAACUCAUGUACGUUAGUUUCAUUUUUUUAUUUUUAUUUUUUAUUUCAUUUUUAUUUUUCCAUCCAGACGUUAGUUUCCUUUUUCUACUUUCUAUACUUCUCAUUUGUUUUUCUUAUUCUAUUAUUUUUUUAUUUUUCUCACAGGACAUGACAUUUUAUGGUUUAUUUAGCUUUUUUUAUUACUUUAUUUUAUUUUUUAUAUUGUAUAUGUUUUUUAUUUCUUUUCUUUCCAUUCCUUUCUUUUUUCUUAUUAUUUUUUUAUUUUCUUAUUUCAAUUAAUCUUUCCCGACGUAUAUGUUUCUUUUCUUCUCUCAAAAUAGGUAGUUGGUAUUUUUUUCUAUUUAUUUUCUUCUUGAUUAACUCCUGGUAGGUUGUUAUACUAGUUUCUUUUUUUAUUUCUUAUAUUUAUUUUUCCUUUUAUUUUCUUAUUUUGUAUUCUGUGUUCUUUUACUCUACUUAAAUUUUUUACUUUUCAUGUUCAUAUUUAUUUUUUAUUUUCCUAUAUAUUUAUCAUUUGUUAUUCAUGUUUUAUGUAUGUUUUCUGUUCUUUGCUAUUUUUUUUAUUUUUUAUAUUAUUAUUAUUUUUAAUAUAAAAUUAUUUUUAGUUUAUUUUUUAUAUUAUAUGAGAUUUUACGUCAUAUAGUAUAGAUGUGAUGUUCUACGAUGUGUUUUUGUGAUGUUCGCAUGUAUAUAAUUUCAUGUUCUGUGAUGUUUUGUUUGUAAUGUUCAUGUAGUAUGUAUGUGAUGUUCUAUAAUAUUUUCUACGAUGUUCACAUGUUGUAAAUGUGAUGUUCUACGUUUUUUAUGUCCAUGUGGUAUUAUAUGAUAUAUUUUAUAAUGUUCUUCUAGUAUAUAAGUGAUGUUCACGUAGUCUAUAAUAAUGUUCUAUGAUGUAUUAUGUGAUGUUUAUGUGGUAUAUAUGUUUUAUACUAUUACGUUUUUUAUUUUAUAGUGUAUUUAGUAGUGUUCACUUAGUAUACACAUGAUUUUUUAUACUAUAUAUUAGGAUUUUUAAAAAGUACACAUGUGCUAUUAUUUUAUUUAUUUCUCUAUUAAGUGUUUAAUUAUAGUAUUUAUUUAUUUAUUUAUAUAUGUAUUUUUAUGUAUAUUGUAAUUCUAUUUCAUGAAUCUAAAUUAUGAACAUUCUUCUUACAGAGACGAAACAUUGUUCUUUAAAUCUAGAAUAUCGACUUUGCUUAAUAAAAGAAAAUGUUCUAUCUUCAUUAGAUAAAUGUUCGUUAAAAAAAUUACUGAAAUAUAUUUAUAUGGGAUCUUGUUUUAAAGGAUUUAUUGAAAGAAAUUCAAUGGUGUAAUUGGAAUUUAUUUUGGAUAUUUUAUUUAACAGUUAUGAUUUUUUUAGUUAGCAUGCGUGUUCUAGAUGAGGUGGUGCAAAUUUUCUGGCGCAAGAUCCUCCUGUGCACCCUGCUGUCUGCUGUGGGCGGAAUUUGCGAGCGCAGGAAAUGAGCUGAGUUUAGGCGGGAAAGAAUCAUCGGCGCUAGAAUCUGGACUAUCUGGGCCUUGUUUAGUUCCAAAAAAUUUUGCAAAACAGCUACUGUAGCACUUUCGUUUGUUUGUGACAAAUAUUGUCUAAUCAUAGACUAACUAGGCUCAAAAGAUUCAUCUCAUCAAUUCCGACCAAACUAUGUAAUUAGUUUUUAUUUUCGUCUAUAUUUAAUACUCCAUGUAUGCGUCUAAAGAUUCGAUGUGACGGGGAAUCUGAAAAAUUUUGCAAAAUUUUUUGGGAAGUAAACAAGGCCCUGGUCCGGCCGCCCGGACCUUAAGAGCUCCCGUGGCUAGUGGGUGGCGAGUGGCUCGGGCAGAGGGCCGCGCACAGCCAGACAGACGACGGGCAUAUUUUUGUUGGUUGGCGCAGGUCUCGAAGCAUGGUAUUGACUUCCCUCCUCUGAUUCCCUGCAGGCUAGUGCUCUGCAAUGUAUGGAGUACUAAGCACGCACAUGCGCAUCCACCUCUUGCUUCGCGUGCGCUAAUUAUAUACUAUAUAUAUAUGCAUCUGAGCAGCUCGCUGUUUCAUAUGCUUUGGCUGCACAGCAGGUGCGGCCGCGCAGCCUGCCUGUCUUUUGAUCGAUCGAUCAAGCCUCAAGGGGUACCGAGAUGACGGAUCGGCCGUCGUUUCCGGCUCUCAUUGCUCUCGCCGUUCUUGUGGUGGGCAGCUACUGCUGCGUGGCGACCUCGGCCGCCUCGCCGGCGGUGGAAGAUGAUGAGCUGCGUGGUCGGACGAUGCGGCGGCGCCGCGCGGCGUCGGUGAUGGUGCCCAUCACCAUCCUCAAGUCCGCAGUCAGCGACGGAGCUGGUAUGUAUGCUGCUGCUGCAUGUUGCUCCUCUGAUCUUGGCUCUUGGUGGGAUAUGGAGAUAUAUGGGUUAUAGUGCGGUGCGUGGGGGGUAUCAAAGGCGCGCUCUAGCUAGUCUCCAUUGUGACAAGCUAUAGCUUUUGCUAGUUAUUACUAGUUAUAUAUAUAGUCCAGAUUUAAGCUGUUUCUUGUGCUAAUUGUAAUGGUCUGAAGACUGCUACCGUAAUUGGUAGCUUAAGGUUCAGACGUUCAGUAUUUCUACUGGUGUUCGUUGGUCGAUUUCCUACGUAUCUGGUGAAACAAUGCCUCACAGGAAGUAACAAAAGAAAUACCAGUAGAUGAAUGGGAACUGAUGAACUAUGCAUUGUAAAACUAAUGUUGGAAAUGUCACAUGGUACUGUCAGCGUUGCCCAAAUUAACAAAAAGCAUUUUAUAAGAACUAAAGAUAUACUAGUAUAUUAUAAUAAUAUAUAUUAUCUCAGUGUGCAUGGAUGGAACGCCACCUGCUUACAACUUGGAUCCUGGCUCCGGAACGGGUAGCAGAAGCUGGAUUGUGAACUUAGAGGUCAGUAAAUAUAUAUACUACCAUUUGAAAUUUUUAAAGCACAUACUUAAGCUUAAAGUUCUAUAUAUGAUUCAUGUUGUUCUUAUUAGUAUUCGUUAGUACUAAUGUAAGAACUCCCCACUUUUUAUAUAUCUUCGCGCUUAAUUGCUUAAACUUUUCUAUAUGUGAUGUUCUUAUUUUUAUUUACAUUUUCGAAGUUGUGUACUACUUUAGUUUCUUCAUAAGUACACUAACGGAGUAAUAAGCUUAUUAUUAUACAUAUGCCGGGCAUGGACGCAUGCAUAUGCAGGGAGGUGCAUGGUGCAACAGCGCCAAGACAUGCCGGCUUACCAAGAGCUCCGGGCGCGGCUCGUCGGACCACAUGGAUAAAGAGAUCCCCUUCACCGGCAUCAUGAGCAGCAGCAGCGCCGUCAAUCCUGGUCUGCCCUGUUUUUAAUUUGUCCAUCCACAGUUCCACACCGCAUCUUAGAUUAGCUUAUCCAUGUCCAUUACUCAUCAUCCCCGAUGCUGAUAAACACGAGCAUAUAUAUUGUAUGUGUAGAUUUCUACAAUUGGAACCGGGUAAAGAUUCGCUACUGCGACGGUGGAUCUUUUGCCGGCGAGGCCUUUGAUAAGGUGCCCAAAGAACAUCAUCACUACUCAAAAGUAGAAGCAUAGCUUGUGAAAAUGAUUCUUCAAAGUGUAGUUUGUGAAUUGAAAUAUAUAUUUUUUUUAAUCACUGUAGUAGUUUGCAGACAUUUUAUUUUGACAUCUUCUGACUACAUAGGAGUUAACUUGUAGAACACUGGGAUUUAUUUCCGAGGGCAGCGCAUCUGGAACGCGGUCAUCCGGCACCUCCUCUCCAUUGGGAUGGCCUCUGCUGAUCGUGUGCUGCUCACCGGCUGCUCCUCGGGGGGUCUGGCGGUGAUCCUGCACUGCGACCAGUUGCGCGCCUUCUUCCCGUCCGGCACCACCGUCGUCAAGUGCAUCUCCGACGGCGGCCUCUACCUCGACGCGUACGUACCCUACCUGUGCUGCAUCACACACAAGAGGCCGGCAACUGAACUGACAGCAGGUUUCCCUCCCAUGACUCCGGUGGCAUGCAUGCAGCGUGGAUGUCUCCGGUGGCCGGAGCCUGAGAUCCUACUUCCGUGACAUCGUGGCCAUGCAAGGAAUAGCUCAGAACCUGCCGCCGGCUUGCACCGCCCGUCUCGACGCCACCUCGGUGCGUGCUGUCGCUGCUCUCCUAUUGCUUCUCAUGAAGUGAUGGUUGCUCUGAAAUCUCAAUCUCGUGUGAAUGCAGUGCUUCUUCCCGCAAAACAUAAUCGAUGGCAUCAAGACCCCACUGUUUCUGCUAAAUGCAGCAUACGACUUCAUUCAGGUAAACAUUAAUUUCGCUUUAAUGAGCAGACACCCUAAAUAGCAAAUGUAUUACCGGUGACAUUACUUACCUGCAUUGUUCCGUCAGAUUGUGCUCAGCCUGGCGCCAGACAGAGCUGACCCAAACGGCGCUUGGCGAGCCUGCAAGUCCAACCGCACGGCCUGCAGUGCAUCCCAGAUGAGUUUCCUGCAAGGUUAAACUGGGAAUCCAUUUGGUAAUGCAAGUUCAUCUUCAUCAGGAAAUGACGAUCCGAAUGACUAAAGCAAAUUGGUACACAAGUGCAGAUUUCAGGGACCAGAUGGUAGCAUCCGUCAGAGGCUUC